Molecule: ribosomal RNA, 119 nt
Filed under: Pteropus alecto (black flying fox)
Lineage: Eukaryota; Metazoa; Chordata; Mammalia; Chiroptera; Pteropodidae
Source: RNAcentral
ACCUAUGGCCGUGCCACCCUGAACACGCCCGAUCUCGUCUAAUCUCAGAAGCUAAGCAGGGUGGGGCCUGGUUAGUACUUGGAUGGGAUUCCACCUAGGAAUACUGGGUGCUGUAGGCU